GCUAUACCACUACUAUUUCAUUUAUUUUAGCCAAUCAGAGCGCUCUAUUUCUCACCCACUCUCACCAAACGCGCGUUGCGCGAGUGUCUACGAUUCCUGUGUGCUUAUAACCCCCAAAAUCGCUUCUGGUGAAACAAACUCGCUGAUUUCUUAAAAACCCAUCGCGUGUCACUUCAUUUUUUCUUUUUCUUUUUCUUUUCUUUUUUUUUCCCCCUCAAACCUUAUUAAUUAUAAUUUAAACUGAGCAUAAAUCAAUUGUAACUCCAAAACCAUGUAAACCGAACCGAAAUUGUUUGCAAGUGUACCCAAAUUCUAAAGAUUUUUAGUGUAUGCUGCUAUGGUGUUCGACAGAAUGCCGCUGAGAGAUUUUGUUUCCUGGAAAAUGAUAAAAUUCUAGAGAUGUUUGUUACAGAGGAAAGGUGGGAAUCUCAUGGAGCUUCCGUGUGGUUUAACAAAGUAUGGUGGUUGGGAAGGCACAAGCUGCUCACUCGGAGAAGGACCCAAAGAUAUCAAUGUUCAAGGAAGGAGAUGAAGGUUUCACAGUUUAAGGGUUUGAAAGCAGUGGAAGGAGAAGAGCCCCCAACUUGAAUUCAAGGCUUAAGGGUCAUUGGAGUCAUAAGCUUGUGAUUAAAGGUAAUUGAUGUAAAGAAGAGGGUGAAGAACAGAGCAAGCUCAAGUUCUCAACUUAAGCAGUAACCAAAGGCUUGAAAAUGUAUGUCAAAACUCAUCAAAGAUGGCAGUAGUGGGUAUUGCAAGCAUAGCAACGACAUUUGGAGAAUCGACUAUCCUCGAUACGAAUAAGAGGUUCUCGGAGAAACUGCAGAGAUUAGUACCUGUUCUUUUGAGUAACCAAAUUUGAAGAAAUACUCUAUACCGUUGAGAACUGGUCUUUUGAAAGCUGUUGACACUCGAGCCAGGCAGCUGAUGAUAGUCACAUCAUCUGGUAACCACGGCGACGGAGACGCCUCAUCCUCCUUCCUCAUCUUAUCUUCUUCAACAUUUGACAUCUGACUUGAGAAACUGUACAGAAGCAGAGGAAUCUCUCUGUUUUUUUUUUCUUUU
This is a long non-coding RNA of Capsella rubella, 1062 nucleotides long. RefSeq lists it as uncharacterized. The transcript has 4 exons. The record is from RefSeq and is a predicted model, not a curated record. Lineage: Eukaryota; Viridiplantae; Streptophyta; Magnoliopsida; Brassicales; Brassicaceae.